RNAcentral lists this ribosomal RNA (254 nucleotides) under uncultured bacterium. Its description in RNAcentral is "partial 16S ribosomal RNA". It matches the Rfam family "Bacterial small subunit ribosomal RNA", at positions 524 to 776 of the family's 1533-position model. The record is from RNAcentral.
UACGAAGGGGGCUAGCGUUGUCCGGAAUCAUUGGGCGUAAAGAGCUCGUAGGCGGCUUAGUAAGUCGGGUGUGAAAACUCUAGGCUCAACCUAGAGACGCCACCCGAUACUGCUAUAGCUAGAAUCCAGUAGGGGAGUGUGGAAUUCCCAGUGUAGCGGUGAAAUGCGCAGAUAUUGGGAGGAACACCAGCGGCGAAAGCGGCACUCUGGGCUGGUAUUGACGCUGAGGAGCGAAAGCGUGGGUAGCGAACAGG